Molecule: ribosomal RNA, 900 nt
Filed under: Triticum aestivum (bread wheat)
Lineage: Eukaryota; Viridiplantae; Streptophyta; Magnoliopsida; Poales; Poaceae
Description: partial small subunit ribosomal RNA
Source: RNAcentral
AUGCGCCUGCUUCCGAAUCGUUGCAAGCUCCGUCGAUCAGUUGGCACUUCAGACAUGCCGGGCGUCAAGUCGGAGUCUCCGGCGAGCGGCUUGCCGGCGCUCCCGCGCAUCCGCACCACUCGCCCUGCUGCGGCCUAUUCCAAGGCAGCAAGAGCCAAGGCGCGGGCAAGCACAAAGGCGGAAGCAGAGGAGAAGCGGCACAAUGGUGGUAGGGGGGCGUGUGGGAGCUCACCGGAGCUGGAGAAGAGGAGGUGCUCCUGGAUCACGGCCAACUCUGAACCCCUCUACGUUGCAUUCCAUGAUGAAGAAUGGGGAGCACCGGUGCACGAUGACCGUAAGUUGUUUGAGCUGCUCACCUUAUCACAAGCCUUAGCUGAGCUCUCCUGGCCUGUAAUUUUGAGCAAGAGGGAUGAGUUCAGGGAGAUGAUUGAUGGUUUCUACAAUGCAUCCGUGUGUGGCUGCACGGACAAGAAGAUAAACCAGCUGUCCAAAUCAAACGGAAGCACGUUGUUGUCACAGCAAAAGAUGCGAGCUGUGGCUGCAAACGCCAAGCAAAUUCAAAAGGUAGUUCGUGAAUUCGGAUCGUUCGACAACUACUGCUGGAGCUUCGUGAACCACAGGCCCAUCACAAACGGCUUCCGCUACGCUCGCCAAGUGCCCACCAAGACGCCCAAAUCUGAGGCUAUGAGCAAGGACCUGAUGCGGCGAGGGUUCCAGUGCGUCGGCCCCACGACGGUCUACUCCUUCAUGCAGGUCGCCGGCAUCGUGAACGACCACCUACGGUGCUGCUUCAGGUUUGAUCAGGCUGGCAGCCAGCCCAAGGCCGCCGAGGAGAACAUGAGAGCCGAUAUAAGAUUGGGGUCUCCCGCUUCAGAGGAUUCAGAGAUCAGCGAGGUGUAG